RNAcentral lists this ribosomal RNA (435 nucleotides) under uncultured bacterium. RNAcentral describes it as "partial 16S ribosomal RNA". It matches the Rfam family "Bacterial small subunit ribosomal RNA", at positions 30 to 507 of the family's 1533-position model. The record is from RNAcentral.
AGCGAACGCUGGCGGCAGGCUUAACACAUGCAAGUCGAGCGGGCAUCUUCGGAUGUCAGCGGCAGACGGGUGAGUAACACGUGGGAACGUACCCUUCGGUUCGGAACAACUCUGGGAAACUGGAGCUAAUACCGGAUACGCCCUUAUGGGGAAAGGUUUACUGCCGAAGGAUCGGCCCGCGUCUGAUUAGCUAGUUGGUGGGGUAACGGCCUACCAAGGCGACGAUCAGUAGCUGGUCUGAGAGGAUGAUCAGCCACACUGGGACUGAGACACGGCCCAGACUCGUAGGGGAGGUAGAAGUGGGGAAUAUAGGACAAGGGGCGCAAGGCUGAAACAGCCAGGGCGCGUGAGUGACGAAGGCGUUAGGGUUGGAAAGCGCUUUUGUCCGGGACGAGAAUGACGGUACCGGAAGAAUAAGCCCCGGCUAACUUCGUG